CGGGACACGUGGUAUCCUGUCUGAAUAUGGGGGGACCAUCCUCCAAGGCUAAAUACUCCUGACUGACCGAUAGUGAACCAGUACCGUGAGGGAAAGGCGAAAAGAACCCCGGCGAGGGGAGUGAAAAAGAACCUGAAACCGUGUACGUACAAGCAGUGGGAGCACGCUUAGGCGUGUGACUGCGUACCUUUUGUAUAAUGGGUCAGCGACUUAUAUUCUGUAGCAAGGUUAACCGAAUAGGGGAGCCGAAGGGAAACCGAGUCUUAACUGGGCGUUAAGUUGCAGGGUAUAGACCCGAAACCCGGUGAUCUAGCCAUGGGCAGGUUGAAGGUUGGGUAACACUAACUGGAGGACCGAACCGACUAAUGUUGAAAAAUUAGCGGAUGACUUGUGGCUGGGGGUGAAAGGCCAAUCAAACCGGGAGAUAGCUGGUUCUCCCCGAAAGCUAUUUAGGUAGCGCCUCGUGAAUUCAUCUCCGGGGGUAGAGCACUGUUUCGGCAAGGGGGUCAUCCCGACUUACCAACCCGAUGCAAACUGCGAAUACCGGAGAAUGUUAUCACGGGAGACACACGGCGGGUGCUAACGUCCGUCGUGAAGAGGGAAACAACCCAGACCGCCAGCUAAGGUCCCAAAGUCAUGGUUAAGUGGGAAACGAUGUGGGAAGGCCCAGACAGCCAGGAUGUUGGCUUAGAAGCAGCCAUCAUUUAAAGAAAGCGUAAUAGCUCACUGGUCGAGUCGGCCUGCGCGGAAGAUGUAACGGGGCUAAACCAUGCACCGAAGCUGCGGCAGCGACGCUGAUGCGUUGUUGGGUAGGGGAGCGUUCUGUAAGCCUGUGAAGGUGUGCUGUGAGGCAUGCUGGAGGUAUCAGAAGUGCGAAUGCUGACAUAAGUAACGAUAAAGCGGGUGAAAAGCCCGCUCGCCGGAAGACCAAGGGUUCCUGUCCAACGUUAAUCGGGGCAGGGUGAGUCGACCCCUAAGGCGAGGCCGAAAGGCGUAGUCGAUGGGAAACAGGUUAAUAUUCCUGUACUUGGUGUUACUGCGAAGGGGGGACGGAGAAGGCUAUGUUGGCCGGGCGACGGUUGUCCCGGUUUAAGCGUGUAGGCUGGUUUUCCAGGCAAAUCCGGAAAAUCAAGGCUGAGGCGUGAUGACGAGGCACUACGGUGCUGAAGCAACAAAUGCCCUGCUUCCAGGAAAAGCCUCUAAGCAUCAGGUAACAUCAAAUCGUACCCCAAACCGACACAGGUGGUCAGGUAGAGAAUACCAAGGCGCUUGAGAGAACUCGGGUGAAGGAACUAGGCAAAAUGGUGCCGUAACUUCGGGAGAAGGCACGCUGAUAUGUAGGUGAAGCGACUUGCUCGUGGAGCUGAAAUCAGUCGAAGAUACCAGCUGGCUGCAACUGUUUAUUAAAAACACAGCACUGUGCAAACACGAAAGUGGACGUAUACGGUGUGACGCCUGCCCGGUGCCGGAAGGUUAAUUGAUGGGGUCAGCGCAAGCGAAGCUCUUGAUCGAAGCCCCGGUAAACGGCGGCCGUAACUAUAACGGUCCUAAGGUAGCGAAAUUCCUUGUCGGGUAAGUUCCGACCUGCACGAAUGGCGUAAUGAUGGCCAGGCUGUCUCCACCCGAGACUCAGUGAAAUUGAACUCGCUGUGAAGAUGCAGUGUACCCGCGGCAAGACGGAAAGACCCCGUGAACCUUUACUAUAGCUUGACACUGAACAUUGAGCCUUGAUGUGUAGGAUAGGUGGGAGGCUUUGAAGUGUGGACGCCAGUCUGCAUGGAGCCGGCCUUGAAAUACCACCCUUUAAUGUUUGAUGUUCUAACGUUGACCCGUGAUCCGGGUUGCGGACAGUGUCUGGUGGGUAGUUUGACUGGGGCGGUCUCCUCCUAAAGAGUAACGGAGGAGCACGAAGGUUGGCUAAUCCUGGUCGGACAUCAGGAGGUUAGUGCAAUGGCAUAAGCCAGCUUGACUGCGAGCGUGACGGCGCGAGCAGGUGCGAAAGCAGGUCAUAGUGAUCCGGUGGUUCUGAAUGGAAGGGCCAUCGCUCAACGGAUAAAAGGUACUCCGGGGAUAACAGGCUGAUACCGCCCAAGAGUUCAUAUCGACGGCGGUGUUUGGCACCUCGAUGUCGGCUCAUCACAUCCUGGGGCUGAAGUAGGUCCCAAGGGUAUGGCUGUUCGCCAUUUAAAGUGGUACGCGAGCUGGGUUUAGAACGUCGUGAGACAGUUCGGUCCCUAUCUGCCGUGGGCGCUGGAGAACUGAGGGGGGCUGCUCCUAGUACGAGAGGACCGGAGUGGACGCAUCACUGGUGUUCGGGUUGUCAUGCCAAUGGCACUGCCCGGUAGCUAAAUGCGGAAGAGAUAAGUGCUGAAAGCAUCUAAGCACGAAACUUGCCCCGAGAUGAGUUCUCCCUGACUCCUUGAGAGUCCUGAAGGAACGUUGAAGACGACGACGUUGAUAGGCCGGGUGUGUAAGCGCAGCGAUGCGUUGAGCUAACCGGUACUAAUGAACCGUGAGGCU
RNAcentral lists this ribosomal RNA (2520 nucleotides) under Escherichia coli. RNAcentral's name for it is "partial 23S ribosomal RNA". It matches the Rfam family "Bacterial large subunit ribosomal RNA", at positions 418 to 2925 of the family's 2925-position model. The record is from RNAcentral. Lineage: Bacteria; Pseudomonadati; Pseudomonadota; Gammaproteobacteria; Enterobacterales; Enterobacteriaceae.